This 515-nucleotide ribosomal RNA is filed under the name uncultured bacterium. Its description in RNAcentral is "partial 16S ribosomal RNA". It matches the Rfam family "Bacterial small subunit ribosomal RNA", at positions 28 to 523 of the family's 1533-position model. The record is from RNAcentral.
GACGAACGCUGGCGGCGUGCCUAAUACAUGCAAGUCGAGCGAAUGGAUUAAGAGCUUGCUCUUAUGAAGUUAGCGGCGGACGGGUGAGUAACACGUGGGUAACCUGCCCAUAAGACUGGGAUAACUCCGGGAAACCGGGGCUAAUACCGGAUAGCAUUUUGAACCGCAUGGUUCGAAAUUGAAAGGCGGCUUCGGCUGUCACUUAUGGAUGGACCCGCGUCGCAUUAGCUAGUUGGUGAGGUAACGGCUCACCAAGGCAACGAUGCGUAGCCGACCUGAGAGGGUGAUCGGCCACACGGGGAGUGAGACACGGCCCAGACUCCUACGGGAGGCAGCAGUAGGGAAUCUUCCGCAAUGGACGAAAGUCUGACGGAGCAACGCCGCGUGAGUGAUGAAGGCUUUCGGGUCGUAAAACUCUGUUGUUAGGGAAGAACAAGUGCUAGUUGAAUAAGCUGGCACCUUGACGGUACCUAACCAGAAAGCCACGGCUAACUACGUGCCAGCCGCCGCAGUAA